GGAAGGGGGUCGCAGGGGCGUUUCAGCAGAAGCCGAGCAAAAUGGAAUAACCAAGAUUUCCUUCCAUAGAAAAGACAUUAUGUUACUUUCCACACCUAGAACUGAAACCAGCCCUGUCUCUUGUGGGGAAAGAAAAAAAAAAAAAUCACAUAAUGCUUAUAAAGGAUUCGGAUGGAAACGAGUGAGGACCAGAAAUGUUACAAAAAAGCCAUUCCAUACAAUGGUUUGAAAUAUUCUGGGCCCAUUUGAUACAGGGAUUUGUGAUGAUCUGCAUGACCUCCCACGUCAGCGAUAAAAAUAACCAUUGGCCCCAUUGCUUAGAGCUUGAAAUAAACCAGAGAAAGGCAAUCAAUCAGUCAAA
Non-coding RNA from Sus scrofa (pig), 361 nucleotides. The record is from RefSeq and is a predicted model, not a curated record. Lineage: Eukaryota; Metazoa; Chordata; Mammalia; Artiodactyla; Suidae.